Long non-coding RNA from Helianthus annuus (common sunflower), 517 nucleotides. RefSeq lists it as uncharacterized. The record is from RefSeq and is a predicted model, not a curated record. The transcript is spliced from 2 exons. NCBI's taxonomy places the organism in Eukaryota, Viridiplantae, Streptophyta, Magnoliopsida, Asterales, Asteraceae.
UCUCACUAACAAAACCCCUCUUUUCCUCCCAACUCUCUCUCUCUCUCUCUCUCUCUUAGUACCAAUUCAACCACCUUCUUCCACCACCACAACCAAAUUCACCACCAUAACAACCAAAUCCGGCCAAAAAGAAGCACACACCAUUUCACAGAUAUGAAAACGGUAACCGCCACUUUCAUCAGGUAGGAAAUGCUAGCAACAAUAGUGGAUUCUGUGAUUUUUCAAGACGGUGGCAAGUAGCAUGGGUGGUGGUGGCGGUUGGUGGUGAUGAUGGUGGUGGCGGUAGUGAGAGAGAGGAAGAAAGAGAGACAAAGGGAUUUGUUAUAUAUUCAUACAAAAUAUACGUAUAUACUAUAUUAGGGGGUGUUUGGCCUAGCUUUUAUUUUUUUGGCUUAUGCUUAUAUUUUUAAGUAGCUUAUGCUUAUUUUCUUUCAUUUGAUAAGCUAUUUUGAAGUGUUUGGAUUAGCUUAUAUUCUACAAGUUGAUAAUCAAUAAUUAAUCUUUAGUUGUUUGUUAA